This is a non-coding RNA of Anoplopoma fimbria (sablefish), 804 nucleotides long. The record is from the annotation of a RefSeq genome assembly. Lineage: Eukaryota; Metazoa; Chordata; Actinopteri; Perciformes; Anoplopomatidae.
CACAGUGGACGCAAACUUAUCCUCAAAUCCUCACCUGCUCAUCUCAUACAAAUAUUUUCUACUAUUCUAUUAAGAUCAUAUAUAUAUUGUUAAACAGAGCAGUAUUCCUCCUGAUUUCAUGGCCCACGUUGCCUUCAGUCUGUUGAGAGCAGAGAAAUAAUUUCCAUAGAGAGGAGGCUUUGCAUCGUCAGCUGAUCCUCCAGUGAACUCAGAAGGUUUAUAGUCCUGUGAGUUCAACACUGCAGGACUCAGAUCUGUCGGUCAACACAGCAGGAACCACAACCACCAUGACUCUCAUCACCAUCCUCAUCUGGACGCUGGCCUGCUGCUGUUUUACAGGAUGCAGCGGUCAGGUGACUGUGACUCAGCCUCCAGUAGUGACAUCUACUCCAGGAUCCACUGUCACUCUCACCUGUAAGACCAACCCAGCUGUUCAUUCAAACUGUGGUAGUGGUCAUCAAUGUAUGUUCUGGUAUCAACAGAAAUCUGGACAGGCACCAACGCUCCUCAUAAAACAAGUGAGCAUAAAACAUUCAGGAACACCAGCUCGGUUUAGUGGUAGUGGAAGCAGCUCUGACUUCACUUUGACCAUCACUGGAGUUCAGACUGAAGAUGCAGCAGUUUAUUACUGUCAGAGUUAUCACAGUGGUGGAGUGUUCACACAGUGAUUUGUAGUCGUACAAAAACCUCCCUCAGUCAGACUGCAGAGACUCUGAGCUGUAACAGCAGGAACCGACUGCAGCUGCUGAAGAGGAAGAGACUCUGACACAGACCACUGAACACAGAGCUGACAGUAAACUCACC